AGAGUUUGAUCCUGGCUCAGGAUGAACGCUAGCGGCAGGCUUAACACAUGCAAGUCGAGGGGCAGCACGAUGUAGCAAUACAUUGGUGGCGACCGGCGCACGGGUGCGUAACACGUAUGGAAUCUGCCUUGUACUGGGAGAUAGCCCGGAGAAAUCCGGAUUAAUAUCCCAUAAUAAGUUGAGUGGCAUCACUUGGCUUUGAAAGCUCCGGCGGUACAAGAUGACCAUGCGCACGAUUAGCUAGUUGGUGAGGUAACGGCUCACCAAGGCUACGAUCGUUAGGGGGCCUGAGAGGGUUAUCCCCCACACUGGUACUGAGACACGGACCAGACUCCUACGGGAGGCAGCAGUGAGGAAUAUUGCGCAAUGGAGGCAACUCUGACGCAGCCAUGCCGCGUGCAGGAAGAAGGCGCUACGCGUUGUAAACUGCUUUUAACCGGGAAGAAACCCCAGGACGUGUCCUGGGUUGACGGUACCGGAGGAAUAAGCACCGGCUAACUUCGUGCCAGCAGCCGCGGUAAUACGAAGGGUGCAAGCGUUAUCCGGAUUCAUUGGGUUUAAAGGGUGCGUAGGCGGGGCCAUAAGUCAGUGGUGAAAUCUUGCGGCUUAACCGUAAAAUUGCCAUUGAUACUGUGGUUCUUGAGUAUGCUCGACGUAGGCGGAAUGUGACGUGUAGCGGUGAAAUGCUAGAUAUGGCACAGAACACCGAUAGUGAAGACAGCUUACGAGGGCAAAACUGACGCUGAGGCACGAAAGCGUGGGGAUCGAACAGGAUUAGAUACCCUGGUAGUCCACGCCGUAAACGAUGAUCACUCGUGAUUGGCGACAUACGGUCAGUCACCUAGCGAAAGCGUUAAGUGAUCCACCUGGGGAGUACGAUCGCAAGAUUGAAACUCAAAGGAAUUGACGGGGGCCCGCACAAGCGGUGGAGCAUGUGGUUUAAUUCGAUGAUACGCGAGGAACCUUACCAGGGCUCGAACGCACGUAGACAGUCGCGGAAACGUGAUCUUCUUCGGACUGCGUGCGAGGUGCUGCAUGGCUGUCGUCAGCUCGUGCCGUGAGGUGUCGGGUUAAGUCCCAUAACGAGCGCAACCCCUACUGUUAGUUGCCAGCGGAUAAUGCCGGGGACUCUAACGGAACUGCCCGCGUAAGCGGUGAGGAAGGUGGGGACGACGUCAAGUCAUCACGGCCCUUACGUCCUGGGCU
Molecule: ribosomal RNA, 1206 nt
Filed under: metagenome
Description: bacterial SSU rRNA
Rfam family: Bacterial small subunit ribosomal RNA
Source: RNAcentral